RNAcentral lists this ribosomal RNA (432 nucleotides) under uncultured bacterium. RNAcentral's name for it is "partial 16S ribosomal RNA". It matches the Rfam family "Bacterial small subunit ribosomal RNA", at positions 29 to 507 of the family's 1533-position model. The record is from RNAcentral.
ACGAACGCUGGCGGCAUGCCUAACCCAUGCCAGUCGAACGAGACCUUCGGGUCUAGUGGCGCACGGGUGCGUAACGCGUGGGAACCUGCCCUUAGGUUCGGAAUAACUCCCCGCAAGGGGUGCUAAUACCGGAUAAUGUCUUCGGGCCAAAGAUUUAUCGCCUUUGGAUGGGCCCGCGUUGGAUUAGCUAGUUGGUAGGGUAAAAGCCUACCAAGGCGACGAUCCAUAGCUGGUCUGAGAGGAUGAUCAGCCACACUGGGACUGAGACACGGCCCAGACUCCUACGGGAGGCAGCAGUGGGGAAUAUUGGACAAUGGGCGAAAGCCUGAUCCAGCAAUGCCGCGUGAGUGAUGAAGGCCUUAGGGUUGUAAAGCUCUUUUACCCGGGAUGAUAAUGACAGUACCGGGAGAAUAAGCUCCGGCUAACUCCGUG